UACGUAGGGUGCGAGCGUUGUCCGGAAUUAUUGGGCGUAAAGAGCUCGUAGGCGGUCUGUCGCGUCUGCUGUGAAAUCCCGAGGCUCAACCUCGGGCCUGCAGUGGGUACGGGCAGACUAGAGUGCGGUAGGGGAGAUUGGAAUUCCUGGUGUAGCGGUGGAAUGCGCAGAUAUCAGGAGGAACACCGAUGGCGAAGGCAGGUCUCUGGGCCAUUACUGACACUGAGAAGCGAAAGCAUGGGGAGCGAACAGG
Molecule: ribosomal RNA, 253 nt
Filed under: uncultured bacterium
Lineage: Bacteria
Description: partial 16S ribosomal RNA
Rfam family: Bacterial small subunit ribosomal RNA
Source: RNAcentral